CUCUUGGAACUUUUCCAUUUGGAAGUAAUUUUAGUAACAUUGGAGGGUUUACAUCAGGAUUUCUUCUUGGAUUUGUCAUUUUGACUCGCCGUCAGCAUCAUUGGCUUAAUCUAAACAAGUCUAAUACUUCCCAGAAGCAAGAAUCUUAUCAAUAUGCGCUUCGGAUUAUCUCUUUUGUGCUACUUAGUGUUGGAUUGGUCGGCGGCGGCGUCUUGUUCUUUAAAGGGGUGGACUUGAAUGAUUACUGCUCUUGGUGCCAUUAUAUAACCUGUGCCCCUCCGAGCUGUAAACCAGGCUACAUUUCUUGUGAGGAUUACCAGAUCGGAAACAAACUUAACGUGACAUGUUUGAACAAUGGAAGAAGUGGCAUUUUUCUCUGUCAAACCGUAACCCUGACGAGCAGGCUGAAUCACUAUGUUAUCGCCUUUGCGGUAAAUAACCAGACACAGAAAUACAACAUCUCUUAGGGAGAUUUCAUUCAAUAAACUUAUGUAUAUGAUUUGUUCUUACUGUUGCUGCUGACAAUAAGAAUGAGUCACUGUGGUUGUUGCCAUAGUUGUUAUCUCGUUAUAUAUAUUUCUCCUUGCUAUGAAAUUACUGCAGGAUGUAUAUUUAUAAGUUUGUCUGAAGGAA
This is a long non-coding RNA of Lathyrus oleraceus (garden pea), 633 nucleotides long. RefSeq lists it as uncharacterized. The record is from RefSeq and is a predicted model, not a curated record. The transcript is spliced from 3 exons. Lineage: Eukaryota; Viridiplantae; Streptophyta; Magnoliopsida; Fabales; Fabaceae.